AGAAAACUUGCUUCUGCAUUUCAAGCUUCAUAGCAAAUAGCUCAGAAGCUUAAAACAUGAAAAACUCAUGAAAACUUCCAUCUUCUCCAUAAAAUAAAUCAGCCACCAUCCUCCAUUAAAACCAUGUAAAAAGCUCCUUGAAACUCCAUAAAAUGCCAAAAGAAGCUGCUCAAAAACGACUUCCAAAGCCACCCCAUUUCAGCUCCAAAAACGAGCUGAGAACUGUCCAUAAACCAGCUCCAAACCACCCCAAAAUCAUCUCCAAAAUGCUGCCAAAAAACCAGCAGUUUUCUCCCAAAUACGACUUCAAAUCUCAGCCUAAAACCAGUCCAAAAGUCCUUGUGACAGCAGCUCUUUUGCACAAUAAUCAGCAGCAACACCAUCUCCAACAAACCUCUUAAACCAUCGUGAAACAGCUGCGGAAAAAUAGCGAAAGAAGCAGCUGUAAAACAGCCAUGAAAGCGGCCCAAAUUACCAGGAAAAUGCAGCCAUAAACUUUCCAAAACACCAUAAAAACAUUGCCAUGUGAACCCAUAAAACCCAGCUUCCGAAAGCGCCUCAAAACAGCUUGUUUCCACCAUUGUUGCAGCUUGUUUGGAGUUCGAAAUUGAGAGGUCCGUUUGAGUCAGAAGUUUUCCGGUCGAGGUUUUGUUUGCGGUUUCGGUUCCAGGUCCGGUGCUUUUGUCGGGUUGCGGUUUUCCUCUUCAUUUUGUACAUUGCUCAAGAUUGUUGAAUCAGUUUUUGGAAGAAAAAUUCUCAAAGGUGCAUUUCAAUUACAUCAUGCGUAUUUAAUCCACUGAAUAUCUUAUGCUUCAUUGUUGGAUUGUUUGUCGAGCUAAUGAAUAGCUUCUGUUUAUUUAAGCUUUCAAAUGCAUAUUUGGCUUAGUUUACCCGAUGCUCAUGGAAUUUUGCUUUAAAUGCUAAUGUUAAAUGUUUAUUGACUUUAAUGACAGAUAUUGGGUUGUUUUUCUUACUUUGGUAAUUGGGGUUGGCUGAAAAUCUGGCAAUUAAUUUAGCCUUAGCAGGCCAUUUGGGAGAUAGUUAGAUAAUAAAAUUGGGCCAUUAAGGUUAAUAACCAAUGAGUGGGUCAUCUUACUGUUUGCUUAGCUUUCAUUUCAUUAGCUGUUGAGUUUUUCUUAUUGGUUUCUUGUUUUAAUUAGAAAACUUAUUAAUUUACAUGUUAAAAAAUAUUGUGUUGGGUUUAAUUAGACUUAGAGGAGGAAGAUUUGGGCAGAUGGGUUUUGAAAUUGAAAAAGAAGUCAAAAGUGGAUUUGAGAUUUUUCUUUUUGGGCUCCAUUAAGUUGAACCAUGUCAGGCCCAAUUGAUAAGAGCUAUAGGUAGCCCAAUCUUAGUAAACGCAUUUAACUGGCCCAUUUACACCCUUCUCCACGAAUUCAUUCUAUAACUCUUGAGCCUCACAACAAUCUCAGAUUCAGAGAAAAAUAAUUCAAGAACAUCGUAGCUUGCUUUAGGGAUUAAUAAAUCAUCGUGACUAUGGGUACGGUUCCCGUGGCAUAGUCACGAUACAUAACUCUAAAUUCAAGUACGCGUUUCACGCGACUUGACCCUAACUUCAAAUAAUAAAAUAAACAUGUUGUAAAUCGCAGGUGCAUUUCACGUGGCGCGGUUUGCAAUGUGUACCAAAACUAUAAGUGUACAAAAUCGUAACUUGUUCAAAAAAUAAUUCCAUAAAUACUAAAAGCAGUUAAAAUAAAUUAAAAGCGGUAAAUGCACAAUAGGUUUAAAACAUGUAAUAACCCAGAUAAUUAGGCCAAUUAUUAAUAGUUGAGCGACCGUGCUAAAGCCACGGAACUCGGGAGUGCCUCACACCUUCUCCCGGGUUAACAGAAUUCCUUAUCUUGUCUUCUGUGUUCGCGGACCAAAAGUAGAGUCAUUUUCCUUGAUUUGGAAUUUUAAAAUAAAUCGGUGACUUGGGACACCAUAAUAAUUAUUUCAAGUGGCGACUCUGAAUUAAAUAAAUAAUCUCAUUUCGAAUAAUGUCACUUUAAUUGGAAAAACUCCCUUUCCUUCAGAAAAAAGGAGGUGUGACAGGUACCAUCAGGUAAGGGUUAAAGAGACAGAUAUUCCGAAUACAACAUUCAGGACCAGAUACGGACACUUUGAGUUUCGUGUUAUGUCGUUCGAUUUGACCAAUGCCCCAGCAGUAUUCAUGGACUUGAUGAACCAUUUGUUCAGGCUCUUUCUAGAUCUAUUCGUGAUUGUAUUUAUAGAUGAUAUUUUGGUUUAUUACCGUUCAAAGGCUAAGCAUGCAGAUCAUUUGCGUAUUGUGCUCAGAGUUCUACUAAAAAGGAAGUUGUACGCAAAAUUCUCUAAAUGUGAAUUCUGGUUGAAUUUUGUAACUUUCCUUGGGCAUAUUAUUUCAGGUAAGGGUACCCGGAUUGAUACACAAAAAAUCGAGGAAGUGAAGACUUGGCCUAGACCCACGACACCGAUGGAGGUUCGUAGCUUCCUGUGUUUGGCAGGUUAUUACAUGAGAUUUGUAGAGGACUUUUCUUAUCUUUCAGCACCAUUGACAAAGUUGACUCAGAAGGCAACUAAGUUUCAGUAGACUAAUGCUUGUGAGCACAGUUUCCAGGCAUUGAAGGAUAGAUUGACUUCAGCACCGGUUCUGACACUUCCAGAGGGAACCGAUGGUUAUGCUAGCUAUUAUAAUACUUCAGGCGUUGGAUUGGGUUGUGUAUUGAUGUAGCAUGGUAUGGUUGCCGCUUAUGCUUCUAGGCAACUAAGGAAGCAUGAGAAGAAUUACCCGACCCAUAAUUUAGAGUUAGCCGUGGUGAUUCAUGCACUGACGAUGUGAAGGCACUAUUUGUAUGGCAUACAUGUUAAUAUCUACUCGGAUCAUAAGAGCCUUCAGUAUAUCUUCAAGAAAAAGGAAUUGAAUUUACGUCGGAGGCGAUGGUUGGAGCUACUGAAAGACUAUGAUGUUGAUAUUUUACACCAUCCAGGGAAGACGCCCUAAUUCGUAGAUCUUUGGGUAGCCUAUCAUAUUUACAACCAGAGAAGAGUGAGAUAGCCUGUGAGAUUUAUCAGCUAGCUAGUCGUGCAGUUCAAUUACUGGAUUCGGGUGAUACCAGAGUUACUAUUUAGGACACGAUAACAUCCUCUUUAGUAACUGAAGUGAAGGAACGCCAGCAUAAGGAUCAUGUGCUAGCUCAUUACAGGGAUACAUCCCCUUAAAAGGAGAAGACACCAUUUGAGAUUACAGGAGAUGGAGUCCUUAGAUAUCGAGGUCAAUUAUGUGUUCCUAAUGUGGCAGGACUGCACCGGCAGGCUAUGGGAGAAACUCAUUAUUCUCGUUAUUCUGUUCAUCCAGGAGCGAUGAAAAUGUAUCAUGAUAUCAGGAAAAUAUACUGGUGGGAUAAAAUCAAGAAGGAUAUAGCAGAGUUUGUUGCUCAGUCCGGUAAUUGUCAGCAGGUUAAGAUUGAGCAUCAGAAAGCUGGUGGAUUAUUGCAGGCUAUAGAGAUUCUGACUUGGAAAUGGGAAGUAAUUAAUAUGGAUUUCAUCAUAGGAUUACCUCGUGCCCAGCGCAAGUUCGAUUCUAUAUGCGUGAUUGUUGAUAGACUUACAAAAUCAACCCAUUUUCUUAUUGUCAGGACUACAUAUUUAGCAGAGGAUUAUGCAAGGGUUUACAUUAAGGAGAUAGUACGACUUCAUGGUAUCCCUAUAUCUGUUAUCUCAGAUAGAGGUGCUCAGUUUACAGCUAAUUCUGGAGGUCCUUCCAAAAGGAAUUGGGGACUCAGGUAAGUCUUAGUACAACAUUUCAUUCCCAGACAAACGGUCAGGUUGAGCGUACUAUUCAGACACUGGAGGAUAUGCUACGGGCUUGUGUGAUAGAAUUCAGGGGUAGCUGGGAUGAUCAUCUUCCUCUUAUCGAGUUCGCAUUUAAUAAUUAGUUAUCAUUCCAUCAUUCAGAUGGCUCCAUAUGAAGUUCUUUACGGACGGAAGUGUAGGUCAUCUAUCGGAUGGUUCAAUGUUGGGGAAACUAAGUUAGUAGGACCAGAGUUGGUACAAUAGGUAGUUGAGAAGAUUAAGCUUAUAAGGGAAAGGCUAUUAGCAACUCAGAGUCGUCAGAAGUCCUAUGCAGAUAAUCGACGAUGAGACUUGGAGUUUUAGGUAGACGACUGGGUAUUCCUAAAGGUAUCACCGAUGAAAGGCGUUAUGAGAUUCGGUAAGAAAGGAAAUCUUAGCCCUCGGUACAUUGGACCUUAUAAGAUUAUUCGUAGAGUAGGCCAUGUAGCAUAUGAGUUAGACUUGCCUUCCAACUUGGAGUCUGUACAUCCAGUCUUUCAUGUGUCUAUGCUCUGUAAGUGUAUCAGAGAUUCGUUUAGAGUCGUUCCAGUUGAUGAUGUUCAGGUCACAGAGCAACUAUCAUAUGAGGAAUAUCCCAUUCCGAUACGAGAUAGACAUGUCCGGAGAUUGAGAACUAAGGACGUAGCUUCAGUUAAAGUACUUUGGAGAAAUAAGAAUGUGGAGGAGAUGACUUGGGAAGCUGAAGAAGACAUGAAGUCUAGGUAUCCUUACUUGUUUCCGCUUCUGGAGGAGGAACCGACUGAGACAUCACAACCUUUAGGUGCAUAUACGAUACUGGAUUCUUAUGUUAGUUAUUGUCGUUGGUCGUGUGAGGCCAUUGGUGUUAUUGAUGAUUGUGGCCCUGUAUGGCUUUGUAUUGUUGGGUUUGCUACAUGACAGGUUGGUAGUAGUACCAUUACAGAGGAGACUUUUCUAAUAUUUCUAUAUAUCUUUGAGAGUUUAACAUUCGAGGAUGAAUGUUUCUAAGGGGGGAAGAUUGUUACAUCCUGUGCGUGCCAAGAUGACGUAUAAUGAAUAUGAGACUUGUUAGUCAUGAUUUAAAUGAGUCUAAAAUCAUAAUAUGACUAUAUAUGAUGUUUGGAUAUAAAAUAUAUAGUUUGGGAAAAAUCUAAUUUAAGUUGCGAAAAAUCCGACAAAAGAUUUGCCUUGUAAUUAAGCUUUUUGAGCAAUAUAUUUCGUGUGUUAUAUGAGGUAUUCUUGGGGAUAUAUUUUACACCAAAUUGAAGGUCUUCGAAUGCAGUUUCCAACACUCUUAACCGUUACAGUGACCAUGACCAAAUAAGACCUAUAAACUUACCCUUAAGCUUUCAACAAGGGUUUCAAAAAGGAUUAACAUCUCGGGUACAAAAUCAAGAAGCGAUAACAUUAGAACGAUACCUAUGAUAUAAGUAUCAUUAUACCGCCUCUCGUUUUCUUUGUAGUUUGUAUUUUGGAAGGUACUUCAUAGUUAAAUAAAUGCCUACUUUCUUUAUUUAAGCUUUUAAAUCUCAAGGAAGGUUGAUAAAUUCGUUUCCCAAUAGUUAGGACUCACGGGAUGG
This 5369-nucleotide long non-coding RNA is filed under the name Nicotiana tabacum (common tobacco). Its description in RNAcentral is "long non-coding RNA (NTAB_LNC014148)". Lineage: Eukaryota; Viridiplantae; Streptophyta; Magnoliopsida; Solanales; Solanaceae. The record is from RNAcentral.